This 3122-nucleotide long non-coding RNA is filed under the name Cricetulus griseus (Chinese hamster). RNAcentral's name for it is "lncRNA (ENSCGRG00015034913.1)". The record is from RNAcentral. Lineage: Eukaryota; Metazoa; Chordata; Mammalia; Rodentia; Cricetidae.
GCUUGCUUCUGAGUGUUCCCUUCAGGAAGGAAUGUCCCUUCAGGAAGCUGUCCUUGAUGAUUCAAUCGGCUGGCUUUUCCCUUCCUUCAUGUUCUCUCAGAUGGAGCUGACAACAUAAGAGUCAAAUGUCCAAGCCCAUUAAAGUACGGAUUCGAGUUAAGGGGAAAGCAGAACCCGAGUAGCAUCUCCGUCCUGGAAGCUGGAAGAGGCCAGUGUAGAAGCUGAGGUAGUGUCAGUCUUCAGUUGUGGAGUUGUAACACCGUAGAGCUGGAGUAUAAGCCCUUGGACUUGAAUUGGUCAUGAACCUGAGAAACCCACAUCACUCAGAGUGCUGCCAGGUUUCUCGACUUCUGUCAGGACUUAGCAGGCUUACCGGUUCUACGAGUUUGUCUCCACUACCAGAAUGUGGGCAAGUCAAUUAAAAAAAAAAAAAAAUUACAAACCUGCCAUAAGAAUAGUGACUGGGGCUGAAGAGAUGCUCGGUGGUUAAGGAGGCAUGCUUCUCAUAGGAGACCUGCAUUUGCUUCCCAGCAUCCUUGUCAGGUGGACCACAGCUUCGUCUUCAUGGGGCCCAGUGCCCUCUGGCCUUCUCAGGUGUGAAAUGAUUCCAUGCCAUGUGGAGGAGCAAGAUGUCAUCUCUGAGAUUGGUCCUUAUGCAAACCAAAAGCUUGAUCCAACAGUCAGUCUCCAUGCUCACACUCAUGAAUCCCACCUUCCCCCCUUUCCUGGAUGCUCCUCAUUACAAGUUUGGUGUGAAUUUAACACCUGUGACACAUCUCAGCUUGGGUCAGCUACAUAAUAAGCUCUCAGGGCUAUCAGCUGCUGUACUGGCCAGGUGAAAAAGAAGUUGUCCCAAGAAAUCACAUAUACCCAUGUCUAAGCAACUUAAUAUAGAUUAACAGAGCGUAAGCAAGCAAGGUAUUUUCUCAUCCAGUUCUUUUGCUAGCAGGCUGCAUUUUGAGGUUAGAAAGAAAGGACCAAUGGUGUUAUUAUAUAUCUCAAAAGGUAAUCUUAUAAGGAAUCUUAAAAGAAUCACAAACUUAAACUUUUAUAUAUGAAAAAAUCAGUCAGCUCUACUUUAAAUCUUUAGGGUGCACAUCAACAGUUAUUUUUACAUCAGGAAGUUGAGGAUAGAAACGGGCACAAGGAAUUAAUCGUCACCUUUGGUCACCAACCCAUCCUAGCAAGAAAGGUAUGUAAGCUAAUAAUAGUUGGGCUGCUUUGUUUUUGAUCCCUAACCUUAACAAACCUAUCACCCAGCUGUAUGUCCUUUAACUUUUUUUGAAGGUUUUUUUCCCCCUCUAAAGCCAUUUGAAAACAUCUUAGUCUAACCUUAAAUUAUUUUCAAAGCUUUGUUUCAGCUAUGACGCACUCCAAAACCUCUGAACUCAUCUCUCAACAUUAAGAUUAAAAGAAUUUAAGCUAGCUGGGCUUACUGGGACACAAUUGUUUUUCUUAAUCAUUAACCUAAACCACAAGUCUAUUGGCGCCUCAGUAGGAACCCAUGUGUUGUAGCUGUGUGACACUUCCUUGUUUUAUUUUUUUAUCCUCUGCAGCCUCUACUUUAUCAGAGGCAGGAGCAACAUUUUAUCCUACCUUUAUCUAAGUUAAUUUUUCUACUGAACUAAUCUCUAUCAGAAUUCUUCACUAUAUUUAUUAAAAUCCCUCAGUCAUUAAAAUCUUAUUUAAACUAACACUAUUGUUGUAUAAAAAUCAUUGCUUUAGUUAAAUAGUACAGCUUAGGAGGAAAUCGUCUUGAUUUCACAGGUAAAAACACCCAGUAGAGUGGGAUAUUUCCAUGACAUGAUCAUACUGCAUUAAGGGCAGUGACAUUUCCCCAUGCCCAUUCCCACCAUGCCAGAUACCAGAGAAAGACACAGCUGUAACAAGAAACCUGCUGGGGUUGAGGCUCCCAGGGGCUUGCCUAUCUGAGAUUCAUCCAUCAGGGUUUUGUUUCCUGGUGGGCUGAUUCCCUGAAGUCAGUUGUCAUCUGCUGUUCCUCUGACAUGGCCACUGUCAAGAAGACUACUCAGUGGUGAGGUGGUGGGGCCACCAGGAAGGAGCAUAGAAAAGUCCAAGAUACAGACGUGGAGCAGUGUGCGUGUGUGAAACCUGAAAUCUUCUGAUUUCAGCGUUAACGAUAGAUGAGCCCCAGCUUUCUUUAGUUGGCUGCCAGCAGCAUAGUGGGUGGUAGGUGAACCAAGUUUGAGGUAGGGAUGAAGGAUCCGGCAUUAAACAGUUGCCAUCUUACCAAAAUAGUUAAAUACUAUGUACCAAUGUUUCUGUCAGCGACAGUCACAUAUGUUAUUGUAUAUAAUGCAUAGCACAGAUCCUAUAGGAUCUGUACCUAGACUGUACCAUGUAAAUUCUUGUGAGUGCAUUCUGUGAUAUUUACACAAUGACCAAAAAAUUGUCUAACCACACCUUUCUCAGAAUGAAUGUAUCAUUAUGGCCAAGAAAUAUGUGACCACACUUGUACAUACUAGAGACUUUGGAAGAAAUGACCCAGAGGCUUAAAAGAGGUCCUGGGAAAUGAGCAUCAAAGGACCACAGCAUCAUUCUGAGUCCAGAGAUAAGCCAUGUUUGCCUGGGGACUGUGGAGAGCCUGCUAUGUUACCUCCCCUACUCUUGCUAUCUGGCAAGGGAGGUGUCUGCACUCAGCAAAUCCCAAAGAGAGGGUGAUGCUUGCUGUUGCUACCAGGAAAAGGCUGGGCAUUAGUGACCAGAUCACUAGGUUCUGGUCAACAAUCUCAUACACACACACACACUUUAGAUAAUCUUUUCUUUUUGCCUUCACAUGAGACAGGACAUCUGAUGUCUUUUGUCUUUCUGUGUCUGACUAUUGCAAUUAACAUGGUAUCUUCCAGCUUUCUCAACAUUGCAGCAAAUGAUAUGAUUUCCUUCUUUCUGACUGAAUAUUACUCCUUUGUGUGUAUGUAUUAAUUUUCUUCAUUCAUUUGUGGGUGUCUGGUCAUGUUCCACAUAAUAUUGUAAAUAGUACUACAAUAAAUAUGAAGAGUGCAGAUAUACUCUUUGGCAUGCUGAUUUUAUUUCCUUUAACAAUUGUGGAUUUCCAGUGCAAUGGUACAUUGCUGAGAUUCAUGAGAAAGGCUGAAAUCCUG